This 85-nucleotide transfer RNA is filed under the name Felis catus (domestic cat). It matches the Rfam family "tRNA". Rfam says of the family: Transfer RNA (tRNA) molecules are approximately 80 nucleotides in length. Their secondary structure includes four short double-helical elements and three loops (D, anti-codon, and T loops). Lineage: Eukaryota; Metazoa; Chordata; Mammalia; Carnivora; Felidae. The record is from Rfam by way of RNAcentral. RNAcentral also lists the same sequence under 5 other names.
GCCUGGGUGGCUCAGUUGGUUAAGCAUCUGACUUUGGCUCAGGUCAUGAUCUCACGGUUUGUGAGUUCAAGCCCUGCUUUAGGUG